Sturnus vulgaris (Common starling) is the source of this 276-nucleotide non-coding RNA. Lineage: Eukaryota; Metazoa; Chordata; Aves; Passeriformes; Sturnidae. The record is from RefSeq and is a predicted model, not a curated record.
AAAGGGUUACAAUAAAGAUAAUUAAAUCCAGCUCCUGGCCCUGCACAAGACAUCCCAAGAAUCACACUGUGUGCCUGAGGGUGUUGUCCAAAUGUAGAACCUUUCCAGAGCCACCACAUCAGUGCUGAAUGCACUUCUCAGCUGUCCACAGCACUGCCAAAAAACAGUGCACUCUUCAUUUCCAUGGAACACCACUGUACAUCAUUCCAGCGCAGCUGGCAAAUUCUGCCUUGCAAUGCAUUGCAAGAGGAGGAAUUUACUGGCACACAGUGAGCA